This 497-nucleotide ribosomal RNA is filed under the name uncultured bacterium. RNAcentral's name for it is "partial 16S ribosomal RNA". It matches the Rfam family "Bacterial small subunit ribosomal RNA", at positions 28 to 507 of the family's 1533-position model. The record is from RNAcentral.
GACGAACGCUGGCGGCGUGCCUAAUACAUGCAAGUCGAGCGAACAGACGAGGAGCUUGCUCCUCUGAUGUUAGCGGCGGACGGGUGAGUAACACGUGGAUAACCUACCUAUAAGACUGGGAUAACUUCGGGAAACCGGAGCUAAUACCGGAUAACAUGUUGAACCGCAUGGUUCAACAGUGAAAGACGGUCUUGCUGUCACUUAUAGAUGGAUCCGCGCCGCAUUAGCUAGUUGGUAAGGUAACGGCUUACCAAGGCAACGAUGCGUAGCCGACCUGAGAGGGUGAUCGGCCACACUGGAACUGAGACACGGUCCAGACUCCUACGGGAGGCAGCAGUAGGGAAUCUUCCGCAAUGGGCGAAAGCCUGACGGAGCAACGCCGCGUGAGUGAAGAAGGUCUUCGGAUCGUAAAACUCUGUUAUUAGGGAAGAACAAAUGUGUAAGUAACUAUGCACGUCUUGACGGUACCUAAUCAGAAAGCCACGGCUAACUACGUG